AUGGGGUGCAGCAGGCGCGAAACCUCUGCAAUAGGCGAAAGCCUGACAGGGUUACUCUGAGUGAUUCCCGCUAAGGGGAUCUUUUGGCACCUCUAAAAAUGGUGCAGAAUAAGGGGUGGGCAAGUCUGGUGUCAGCCGCCGCGGUAAUACCAGCACCCCGAGUGGUCGGGACGAUUAUUGGGCCUAAAGCAUCCGUAGCCGGUCAUGCAAGUCCUCCGUUAAAUCCACCUGCUUAACAGAUGGGCUGCGGAGGAUACUACAAGGCUAGGAGGCGGAAGAGGCAAGCGGUACUCAGUGGGUAGGGGUAAAAUCCUCUGAUCCAUUGAAGACCACCAGUGGCGAAGGCGGCUUGCCAAUACGCGCUCGACGGUGAGGGAUGAAAGCUGGGGGAGCAAACCGGAUUAGAUACCCGGGUAGUCCCAGCUGUAAACGAUGCAGACUCGGUGAUGGGCCGGCUUUAUGCCGGCUCAGUGCCGCAGGGAAGCCGUUAAGUCUGCCGCCUGGGGAGUACGGUCGCAAGACUGAAACUUAAAGGAAUUGGCGGGGGAGCAC
This 552-nucleotide ribosomal RNA is filed under the name uncultured archaeon. RNAcentral describes it as "bacterial SSU rRNA". It matches the Rfam family "Archaeal small subunit ribosomal RNA", at positions 325 to 879 of the family's 1478-position model. The record is from RNAcentral.